This 87-nucleotide transfer RNA is filed under the name Sulfurospirillum sp. UBA11407. RNAcentral describes it as "tRNA-Leu". It matches the Rfam family "tRNA". Rfam says of the family: Transfer RNA (tRNA) molecules are approximately 80 nucleotides in length. Their secondary structure includes four short double-helical elements and three loops (D, anti-codon, and T loops). Further hydrogen bonds mediate the characteristic L-shaped molecular structure. tRNAs have two regions of fundamental functional importance: the anti-codon, which is responsible for specific mRNA codon recognition, and the 3' end, to which the tRNAs corresponding amino acid is attached (by aminoacyl-tRNA synthetases). tRNAs cope with the degeneracy of the genetic code in two manners: having more than one tRNA (with a specific anti-codon) for a particular amino acid; and 'wobble' base-pairing, i.e. permitting non-standard base-pairing at the 3rd anti-codon position. RNAcentral also lists the same sequence under 1 other name. The record is from RNAcentral. Lineage: Bacteria; Pseudomonadati; Campylobacterota; Epsilonproteobacteria; Campylobacterales; Sulfurospirillaceae.
GCCUGAGUGGUGAAAUUGGUAGACACGCUAGACUCAAAAUCUGGUGAGGGCAACCUCGUAGCGGUUCGAGUCCGCUCUCAGGUACCA